UACAGAGGUCUCAACCGUUGUUCGGAUUCAUUGGGCGUAAAGGGCGCGUAGGCGGUUCGUACAGUCAGACGUGAAAUUCCUGGGCUCAACCUGGGGGCUGCGUUUGAUACGUGCGGACUUGAGUGCGGAAGAGGGUCGUGGAAUUCCCAGUGUAGAGGUGAAAUUCGUAGAUAUUGGGAAGAACACCGGUGGCGAAGGCGGCGACCUGGUCCGGUACUGACGCUGAGGUGCGAAAGCGUGGGGAGCAAACAGG
This 253-nucleotide ribosomal RNA is filed under the name uncultured bacterium. Its description in RNAcentral is "partial 16S ribosomal RNA". It matches the Rfam family "Bacterial small subunit ribosomal RNA", at positions 524 to 776 of the family's 1533-position model. The record is from RNAcentral.